UACGUAGGGGGCAAGCGUUGUCCGGAAUCAUUGGGCGUAAAGAGCGUGUAGGCGGUCCGGUAAGUCGGCUGUGAAAGUCCAGGGCUCAACCCUGGGAUGCCGGUCGAUACUGCCGGACUAGAGUUCGGAAGAGGCGAGUGGAAUUCCCGGUGUAGCGGUGAAAUGCGCAGAUAUCAGGAGGAACACCGAUGGCGAAGGCAGGUCUCUGGGCCACUACUGACGCUGAGAAGCGAAAGCAUGGGGAGCGAACAGU
This 253-nucleotide ribosomal RNA is filed under the name uncultured bacterium. RNAcentral's name for it is "partial 16S ribosomal RNA". It matches the Rfam family "Bacterial small subunit ribosomal RNA", at positions 524 to 776 of the family's 1533-position model. The record is from RNAcentral.